This 463-nucleotide ribosomal RNA is filed under the name uncultured bacterium. RNAcentral describes it as "bacterial SSU rRNA". It matches the Rfam family "Bacterial small subunit ribosomal RNA", at positions 29 to 506 of the family's 1533-position model. The record is from RNAcentral.
AUGAACGCUGGCGGCAUGGAUUAGGCAUGCAAGUCGAACGGUGACGGCCCCGCAAGGGGCCUGAUCAGUGGCGAAAGGGUGAGGAACACGUGAGGAACCUGCCCUCGAGUCCGGAAUAGCCCCGGGAAACCGGGAUUAAUGCCGGAUGUGGUUGGAGGCCGAUUGGUCUCCGGACUGAAGGCGCAAGCCGCUCGGGGAUGGUCUCGCGUCCGAUCAGCUGGUUGGCGGGGUAACGGCCCACCAAGGCUAAGACCGGUAGCUGGUCUGAGAGGAUGGUCAGCCACACUGGGACUGAGACACUGCCCAGACUCCUACGGGAGGCUGCAGUCGAGAAUCUUCCGCAAUGGGCGAAAGCCUGACGGAGCAAUGCCGCGUGAGGGAUGAAGGCCUUCGGGUUGUAAACCUCUGUCGCCCGGGACGAAACCAUGACGGUACCGGGAGAGGAAGCUACGGCUAACUACGU